AUGCACGCUGGCGGCGUGCCUCAUACCUGCCAGUCGAGCGAACAGACGAGGAGCUUGCUCCUCUGACGUUAGCGGCGGACGGGUGAGUAACACGUGGAUAACCUACCUAUAAGCCUGGGAUAACUUCGGGAAACCGGAGCUAAUACCGGAUAAUAUAUUGAACCGCAUGGUUCAAUAGUGAAAGACGGUUUUGCUGUCACUUAUAGAUGGAUCCGCGCCGCAUUAGCUAGUUGGUAAGGUAACGGCUUACCAAGGCAACGAUGCGUAGCCGACCUGAGAGGGUGAUCGGCCACACUGGAACUGAGACACGGUCCAGACUCCUACGGGAGGCAGCAGUAGGGAAUCUUCCGCAAUGGGCGAAAGCCUGACGGAGCAACGCCGCGUGAGUGAUGAAGGUCUUCGGAUCGUAAAACUCUGUUAUUAGGGAAGAACAAAUGUGUAAGUAACUAUGCACGUCUUGACGGUACCUAAUCAGAAAGCCACGGCUAACUACGUG
This 496-nucleotide ribosomal RNA is filed under the name uncultured bacterium. RNAcentral's name for it is "partial 16S ribosomal RNA". It matches the Rfam family "Bacterial small subunit ribosomal RNA", at positions 29 to 507 of the family's 1533-position model. The record is from RNAcentral.